Molecule: ribosomal RNA, 405 nt
Filed under: uncultured bacterium
Lineage: Bacteria
Description: bacterial SSU rRNA
Rfam family: Bacterial small subunit ribosomal RNA
Source: RNAcentral
CCAGACUCCUACGGGAGGCAGCAGUAAGGGAUAUUGGUCAAUGGGGGAAACCCUGAACCAGCAACGCCGCGUGAGGGAAGACGGUUUUCGGAUUGUAAACCUCUGUCCUCUGUGAAGAUGAUGACGGUACCCAAAGAGGAAGCUCCGGCUAACUACGUGCCAGCAGCCGCGGUAAUACGUAGGGAGCGAGCGUUGUCCGGAAUUACUGGGUGUAAAGGGAGCGUAGGCGGGGAUGCAAGUUGGAUGUUUAAACUAUCGGCUCAACCGGUAAUUGCAACCAAAACUGCAACUCUUGAGUGAAGUAGAGGCAGGCGGAAUUCCUAGUGUAGCGGUGAAAUGCGUAGAUAUUAGGAGGAACACCAGUGGCGAAGGCGGCCUGCUGGGCUUUAACUGACGCUGAGGCUC